RNAcentral lists this ribosomal RNA (277 nucleotides) under uncultured bacterium. RNAcentral's name for it is "partial 16S ribosomal RNA". It matches the Rfam family "Bacterial small subunit ribosomal RNA", at positions 28 to 310 of the family's 1533-position model. The record is from RNAcentral.
GAUAAACGCUGGCGGCGUGCCUAACACAUGCAAGUCGAACGUCCUCUCUCGCAAGGGAGAGGGAGUGGCGGACGGGUGAGUAACACGUGGGUCAUCUGCCCCAAAGUGAGGAAUACCGGCGAGAAAUCGCCGACAACACCGCAUACGUUUGCGCAAGCAAACAAAGCUUCCCGCGAGGGAGGCGCUUUGGGAGGAGCCUGCGGCAGAUUAGCUAGUUGGUGGGGUAAGAGCUUACCAAGGCCACGAUCUGUAGCUGGUCUGAGAGGACGAUCAGCCA